This is a long non-coding RNA of Oreochromis aureus, 1405 nucleotides long. NCBI's taxonomy places the organism in Eukaryota, Metazoa, Chordata, Actinopteri, Cichliformes, Cichlidae. The record is from Ensembl.
GGCACCGGUAUGAGGAGAGAAGGGGGGCAGGACUGGAUGGUGGGUUAAGGUUGGGGGUGCGGGAAAUGGGAUUGAAACCCCUCCUUGCCUGAGGAGGGGUCUGAACCGAGUGGGGUAGAGGCUGGAGUGGAAAAUGGGUUAGGGUAGAAAGGGAAGGGUGAACUGCAAGACAGUCACACAAAACGCAAUCAUCUCCUUGCACUAAAGUGGCUGCAAUCAGCUGGAGGUCCAGGCUUCAGUGGAUGAGGGUACAGGUACUCAACAGGUACAGGGGGCAGCCACGGCAUGUUGGUCAUGAACUGUUGAGAUGGAGAUGAAUAGCUGCUGGGGUAAAAACACAACAACCCAACUAUGGAAGGCUCCUCACAUACCCUCGAGGACACUGGGCAAACCGCACUCAAUGAGGGCACCUCAAGAGCCGAAAGAAACAUCCAAAAUUAUUGUUUUCAGCCUGCUAACACAAACCGAAGUGCUUUGUCCAAUGGGAAUCCAAACAGAAGCAUGAGAGGGAGAGAAAUAAAAAAAAGGAAGAAAAAUCUUUUCAUUUCAGACUGUUGAGGCACACUUGGUUGAGUGGAGCUUCAGUGGCACUGUAAACUGUCUCAAAACACAUUCACUUCAGUAAUUAUAAUCUUUUAAACGGCAGUAGAUCAAACAAGCAACAAGAAAAACUACUCUCGUUCAAUGUAACAAAAAGCACUGUAACAGCUUCAUAUAGCAGAAGCUUCUCCUGACCACUGGAGCCUAGCUGAUUCUACAAUGAACAGAAUAAACAAUAAUUGAAAGAAGAAGAACUUAUUUCUGUCCAAAGGACCCGCUGAGCAUUGGAACUUAAGAAAGGUGAAUCACACCACUACUCUCCUCCCACUUUUCAAGGCUUAUGGGGGAUGCCUCAUUUACACACUGGUUCCACUGUUCUAACAUACACAUUGCAGCUCUACUGGUCGAGUGAAUGUUGUCCUUCUCUGUGCUGAAUAUCAAAGUAGGAAGUACAGGAAUCUGUUCAUCUAAACCUGUAAUAAAGUUGUUCAGAUGCAACGAUGUGGCUUGUUCUUCACAAAGAAGGGCCUUAGAAAGAUUGCUUACUGCUCUGCCUUUAGUCCCAUUUUCAGCUCCAUCACUGGUAUUCAGUCCAAAGUUAUAAAACCAGAUUUUCCACAGUGUGCUUUCUCCAGCUGGGCCUCACCGGGUGGCAACAUUUCGCUCAUGGAAAUCUGUCGAUCUGUACCCCUCUGCUUUAUAGGACGGAGGAGUCUGUGCACAUUGGAGUCACCGAUGAUCACCGAUAUUUUCUUCACAUGAAGAUUCCAGUCCUGGAGUUUCCUCUGUGUGUUGGGGUCUCUCGUUGGAGUGCAGACCUGUCGUUCUGGUGAGGAUGGUGAGGAAGGGAGACAAGAGGAGGAGU